Molecule: ribosomal RNA, 242 nt
Filed under: uncultured bacterium
Lineage: Bacteria
Description: partial 16S ribosomal RNA
Rfam family: Bacterial small subunit ribosomal RNA
Source: RNAcentral
GACGAACCGUCCCUAACGUUAUUCGGAUUCACUGGGCUUAAAGGGCGCGUAGACUGUUUACCAAGUCCGGGUGAAUACUUUCGGUCUUAACCGGAAAACGUAGCCUUGGAUACUGGUGAACUCGAGGGAGGUAGGGCGAUGUGGAACUUCCGGUGGAGCGGUGAAAUGCGUUGAUAUCGGAAGGAACGCCGGUGGCGAAAGCGACGUGCUGGCCCUCUUCUGACGCUGAGGCGCGAAAGCUA